Mus musculus (house mouse) is the source of this 1087-nucleotide long non-coding RNA. RefSeq annotates it as predicted gene, 35818. The record is from RefSeq and is a predicted model, not a curated record. Lineage: Eukaryota; Metazoa; Chordata; Mammalia; Rodentia; Muridae. The transcript is spliced from 7 exons.
CUUAGCAACUAUUUCUGAGAGUCUAGGUGGCCUCUCUGGUGGCAUUGCUCACACUUUCAUCCCUGAGUAGGCUGGGCUCAAGAAUCAUUUUUCUUCUCUUUUGUUCUCUGGCAUCUUAAUCUGUUUUCUACAGCUAAAACAAAAUACCCAAGACUGGAUACCUCACAAUGAAAAGAUGUUUGCUUAGUUUAUACCUUUGGAGGGUACAAGGUCAGGAUCGAGUGGCCUCCUCUCUUUGGCACCUCAGAGCCUGGCAGAGAGGGACAUGGCAAAGCUGUUGCUAUAGCUGUUGUUCUUGCUGUUGCUGUUGAGAUAGUCUUGAUGUACAAUCCAGAGGCAAUGACACAGAGGCUAACAGCUAUCCGGCCAUGUAGUGGGCAGUACAGGAGAAGCCUGCAGCCUACGAACAGUGGGCACACAGAUGAGAAGGAAUUAAGCUCCAAGAAGGACAGCAGAGGGAUCUAGUGGACACAGCAGUUCCUGGAGGAACACAUGGAAAAUGGGAGGAGUACACCAAACCUUCGGAUCUCUGCCAGAUAACUCUUGGCUUUGAAAUGGGAACACACCCAAGGCAAAGAUGGUUCUCGCUGAUAUCUCACUGCAGUAUGAGGCUUCACAACCGGCAAUUGCAUAGACUGAGGACAUGGAAGCUCCAAGAUACUACAGAUCUCCGGAUGACCCUUCUGAAUGAGAUAGGAAAUGGCUUCUUUAGUUGAGCGGAACAGCCACAGAAUUUGGGGUCUCUCACUGGCCUGGAGUUUCCCAAGUAGGUCAGCCUAUCUGGCUAGCAAGUCCCAGGGCCUGACAGUCUUCCCACCACAGUACUGCCAUUACAGGUGUGCCCUGCCACAUACUUCUCUAGAAGCAUCUUGGAUGAGAUUGAUUUUGAAAGCACCCCUCAAAGGCUUGAAAGUACUCAGACAGCCGUUCAGUUGUGUGCUGCCCAGGUUAUAACUCAAGUUUCCCAGUAAAUGACACGCAGAAGAAGUAAUAGGAGAUGACGCCCCACCCUUCCUGUCUCUCCGAUACCCUGCAGCAUCUGUUAGUCAUCUUUGUCAUAGAUGCUAAUAAAUUCAAAUUAAGGACA